RNAcentral lists this unclassified non-coding RNA (337 nucleotides) under soil metagenome. RNAcentral's name for it is "partial contains 5.8S ribosomal RNA, internal transcribed spacer 2, and large subunit ribosomal RNA". The stretch from base 2 to 121 matches the Rfam family "5.8S ribosomal RNA", at positions 35 to 154 of the family's 154-position model. The record is from RNAcentral.
GGAUGAAGAACGCAGCGAAAUGCGAUACGUAAUGUGAAUUGCAGAAUUCCGCGAAUCAUCGAAUCUUUGAACGCACAUUGCACCCGGUGGUAUUCCGCCGGGUAUGCCUGUCUGAGCGUCAUUUCUACCCUCGAGCACUGCUCGGUGUUGGCGGAUUGCCUAGCAACCGCUGAAAAUCAACGGCGGUGACCCCUAUGUCCCUGUAUAGUAUUAUUCUUACAGUGGUUAUAGCGGUCUACCAGUCUACUGUGCGCCGUAACAAGCGCUACACUUUGAAACUCGACCUCAGAUCAGGUAGGAAUACCCGCUGAACUUAAGCAUAUCAAUAAGCGGAGGA